This is a long non-coding RNA of Passer domesticus (house sparrow), 342 nucleotides long. RefSeq lists it as uncharacterized. The record is from RefSeq and is a predicted model, not a curated record. Lineage: Eukaryota; Metazoa; Chordata; Aves; Passeriformes; Passeridae. The transcript has 3 exons.
UGUCCCUGCUGACCCCUCAGGCUGAGCCCUGCUUUUGUGGGGUCCAUUGCUGGGAAAUGGAACUACUUUCUCUUAAGGUCCUCUGACAGGAGAGACCAAAGACAUGGCAGGCAGGAAAUUCCAGGACCCAUUAGAAGUCAUGUGGCAAAUGCUGAAGGAACGUCUGCAGAGAAGACAAGAAAUGAAAGGAGAGUUUGUGCAGAUGGAAGCACUCCCCAGAGGAAGCAGUGGUUCCAUGCCAGCCUCUGCUGCAGGAAGGGAGGCCAUGCCAGGCACAGGCACAGGAGACUGGAGUCGUGACAUGGGUUUUCAGGAAGUCCUGAUGAAGGAUGGUUUGAAGUU